Molecule: ribosomal RNA, 378 nt
Filed under: uncultured bacterium
Lineage: Bacteria
Description: bacterial SSU rRNA
Rfam family: Bacterial small subunit ribosomal RNA
Source: RNAcentral
AUUGAACGCUGGCGGCAGGCCUAACACAUGCAAGUCGAGCGGUAGAGAGGUGCUUGCAUCUCUUGAGAGCGGCGGACGGGUGAGUAAUGCCUAGGAAUCUGCCCUAGUGGUGGGGGAUAACGUUCGGAAACGGACGCUAAUACCGCAUACGUCCUACGGGAGAAAGCGGGGGAUCUUCGGACCUCGCGCCAUUAGAUGAGCCUAGGUCGGAUUAGCUAGUUGGUGAGGUAAUGGCUCACCAAGGCGACGAUCCGUAACUGGUCUGAGAGGAUGAUCAGUCACACUGGAACUGAGACACGGUCCAGACUCCUACGGGAGGCAGCAGUGGGGAAUAUUGGACAAUGGGCGGAAAGCCUGAUCCAGCCAUGCCGCGUGUGU